This 592-nucleotide ribosomal RNA is filed under the name uncultured Arthrobacter sp. Its description in RNAcentral is "bacterial SSU rRNA". It matches the Rfam family "Bacterial small subunit ribosomal RNA", at positions 355 to 957 of the family's 1533-position model. Lineage: Bacteria; Bacillati; Actinomycetota; Actinomycetes; Micrococcales; Micrococcaceae. The record is from RNAcentral.
UGGGGAAUAUUGCACAAUGGGCGCAAGCCUGAUGCAGCGACGCCGCGUGAGGGACGACGGCCUUCGGGUUGUAAACCUCUUUCAGUAGGGAAGAAGCGAAAGUGACGGUACCUGCAGAAGAAGCGCCGGCUAACUACGUGCCAGCAGCCGCGGUAAUACGUAGGGCGCAAGCGUUGUCCGGAAUUAUUGGGCGUAAAGAACUCGUAGGCGGUCUGUCGCGUCUGCUGUGAAAGCCCGAGGCUCAACCUCGGGUCUGCAGUGGGUACGGGCAGACUAGAGUGCAGUAGGGGAGACUGGAAUUCCUGGUGUAGCGGUGAAAUGCGCAGAUAUCAGGAGGAACACCGAUGGCGAAGGCAGGUCUCUGGGCUGUAACUGACGCUGAGGAGCGAAAGCAUGGGGAGCAAACAGGAUUAGAUACCCUGGUAGUCCAUGCCGUAAACGUUGGGCACUAGGUGUGGGGCUCAUUCCACGAGUUCCGUGCCGCAGCUAACGCAUUAAGUGCCCCGCCGGGGGAGUACGGCCGCAAGGCUAAAACUCAAAGGAAUUGACGGGGGCCCGCACAAGCGGCGGAGCAUGCGGAUUAAUUCGAUGC